Molecule: ribosomal RNA, 708 nt
Filed under: Triticum aestivum (bread wheat)
Lineage: Eukaryota; Viridiplantae; Streptophyta; Magnoliopsida; Poales; Poaceae
Description: partial small subunit ribosomal RNA
Source: RNAcentral
AAGUCGAAGUAAGAAGAUAUCGUAAACUACAUCUGCUUUAGGAGCCCGACCUUUACCUGCCGUCCACGCCGCUGUAGGGCUCAUGGUGCAGGUAACGAAGUACGCCACCACUCGGUUUGCCGGUAGAAGUGCGGAAUCUGCGUGUGCUCAUGCAUAGUCCUGGUACGGAAGAACAAGAACACAUCUGGUGAAGUACUACAAACCGACCUGAUUGCACUGUGGUAGCGGUUCCGUGGUAGCUCAGGCCCGCUCUACUUCCUAUCCGUGAUGGGGCUACGGUUUACCCUAGAGCAAAGGGAACUUCCUCUUCGCUCGUCGUGGCAGUACGGUGCACUUCCUCAGCCACUACAGCUGUACCAGGCGCCGAAGCAGGAAGUACCAUGGCCGAGCAGCUCGACCCGCUUCCCACACUGCCCACUAAACUUGCGGCCCUCCGUAGUACCGCUCGUGGUACAGCACCAGGAGUCGCACUACUUUACCUCCGUGGUCGAACUGCUAUAACUGCCACCCGCCGCGACACCGCACGGGACGCAGUAACACAAGGCGCCGUGGCACACCGCUUCACCCGCGCUCCUCACCCCCACCAGAGGCACCGUAGCCGGAGGUACCGCGGCCGAGCCGCUGUAGCUUUCCACCCGCCGUAGUACCGUUACGAGGCACAGCAACAGGAAGGCACCGCGGAGCACCGUUUCACCCGCACUCACCACU